This 207-nucleotide ribosomal RNA is filed under the name uncultured Mobiluncus sp. RNAcentral describes it as "partial 16S ribosomal RNA". It matches the Rfam family "Bacterial small subunit ribosomal RNA", at positions 829 to 1034 of the family's 1533-position model. The record is from RNAcentral. Lineage: Bacteria; Bacillati; Actinomycetota; Actinomycetes; Actinomycetales; Actinomycetaceae.
UUUCCACGGAUUCUGCGCCGUAGCUAACGCAUUAAGUGCCCCGCCUGGGGAGUACGGCCGCAAGGCUAAAACUCAAAGAAAUUGACGGGGGCCCGCACAAGCGGCGGAGCAUGCGGAUUAAUUCGAUGCAACGCGAAGAACCUUACCAAGGCUUGACAUACACUGCGACAUGCCGAGAUGGUGUGGGCUGGAUGCUGCAUGAUCCCA